RNAcentral lists this unclassified non-coding RNA (211 nucleotides) under plant metagenome. Its description in RNAcentral is "partial contains small subunit ribosomal RNA, internal transcribed spacer 1, and 5.8S ribosomal RNA". The record is from RNAcentral.
UUUCCGUAGGUGAACCUGCGGAAGGAUCAUUCAUAAUAAAGUGUUUUAUGGCACUUUUUAAAAAUCCAUAUCCACCUUGUGUGCAAUGUUAGAUCUCGUCAAUCUUGGCGAGAUUUUUAUACAUCAACUCAUUUUUUAACUGAUUUGUCUGAAAAAUAUUAUGAAUACUUAAUUCAAAAUACAACUUUCAACAACGGAUCUCUUGGCUCUC